RNAcentral lists this small RNA (148 nucleotides) under Papio anubis (olive baboon). RNAcentral's name for it is "Metazoan signal recognition particle RNA (ENSPANG00000043804.1)". Lineage: Eukaryota; Metazoa; Chordata; Mammalia; Primates; Cercopithecidae. The record is from Rfam by way of RNAcentral.
GCCGGGUGUGGUGGCACACGCCUGUAGUCCCAGCUACUCGGGAGGCUGAGGCAGGAGAAUCACUUGAACCCGGGAGGUGGAGGUUGCAGUGAGCCAAGAUUGUGCCACUGCACUCCAUCCUGGGUGACAGAGUGAGACUCUGCGUCAA